This is a long non-coding RNA of Capsicum annuum, 335 nucleotides long. RefSeq lists it as uncharacterized. The record is from RefSeq and is a predicted model, not a curated record. The transcript has 2 exons. NCBI's taxonomy places the organism in Eukaryota, Viridiplantae, Streptophyta, Magnoliopsida, Solanales, Solanaceae.
UCAUUUUAUUUUUUGAGUAUUCAUGGCUUCUCAAGAUGAUGAAAAUGUUAGGCCAGAUUCUGAUCAAGAGAAUGAGUUUGAACGAGCAAUUGAAAAACUUAAAAAAAUAUCUAGUAAGAUGCCAGAUCCAAAAGAUCGAUCAUAUAAUAGAGCAGCUAAGUGACGAGCAAGAGCUUGACCUUUCUCAAAUCAAAAUUUGAUUUGACAACAAAAGAUGCCACAUCCAGAUUCUUAUUGUAAAAUUUUGAUGGCCGCUUAAAAAUGUAACGACCCAUUUCAUCGUUACUAAAUUAUUCAUAAUAAAUUCAUGAAAACUCUUAAUUUUUAUUUCUCAA